Molecule: ribosomal RNA, 253 nt
Filed under: uncultured bacterium
Lineage: Bacteria
Description: partial 16S ribosomal RNA
Rfam family: Bacterial small subunit ribosomal RNA
Source: RNAcentral
UACAGAGGAUGCAAGCGUUGUUCGGAAUUACUGGGCGUAAAGCGCGCGUAGGUGGUCUUGUGUGUCUGGUGUGAAAUCCCUUGGCUUAACCAAGGAAGUGCGCCAGAAACUGCGAGACUUGAAUUCGGGAGAGGAUGGUAGAAUUCUCAGUGUAGAGGUGAAAUUCGUAGAUACUGGGAGGAACACCGGUGGCGAAGGCGACCAUCUGGACCGACAUUGACACUAAAGUGCGAAAGCGUGGGUAGCAAACAGG